RNAcentral lists this ribosomal RNA (691 nucleotides) under uncultured Leptothrix sp. RNAcentral describes it as "bacterial SSU rRNA". It matches the Rfam family "Bacterial small subunit ribosomal RNA", at positions 8 to 696 of the family's 1533-position model. Lineage: Bacteria; Pseudomonadati; Pseudomonadota; Betaproteobacteria; Burkholderiales; Sphaerotilaceae. The record is from RNAcentral.
AGAGUUUGAUCCUGGCUCAGAUUGAACGCUGGCGGCAUGCCUUACACAUGCAAGUCGAACGGUAACGCGGGGCAACCUGGCGACGAGUGGCGAACGGGUGAGUAAAGCAUCGGAACGUGCCCAGUAGUGGGGGAUAGCCCGGCGAAAGCCGGAUUAAUACCGCAUACGACCUAAGGGUGAAAGGGGGGGAUCGCAAGACCUCUCGCUAUUGGAGCGGCCGAUGUCAGAUUAGCUAGUUGGUGGGGUAAAAGCUCACCAAGGCGACGAUCUGUAGCUGGUCUGAGAGGACGACCAGCCACACUGGGACUGAGACACGGCCCAGACUCCUACGGGAGGCAGCAGUGGGGAAUUUUGGACAAUGGACGAAAGUCUGAUCCAGCCAUGCCGCGUGCGGGAAGAAGGCCUUCGGGUUGUAAACCGCUUUUGUCAGGGAAGAAAUCCUUUGAGCUAAUACCUCGGGGGGAUGACGGUACCUGAAGAAUAAGCACCGGCUAACUACGUGCCAGCAGCCGCGGUAAUACGUAGGGUGCAAGCGUUAAUCGGAAUUACUGGGCGUAAAGCGUGCGCAGGCGGUUAUGUAAGACAGAGGUGAAAUCCCCGGGCUCAACCUGGGAACUGCCUUUGUGACUGCAUAGCUUGAGUGCGGCAGAGGGGGAUGGAAUUCCGCGUGUAGCAGUGAAAUGCGUAGAUA